This 252-nucleotide ribosomal RNA is filed under the name uncultured bacterium. RNAcentral describes it as "partial 16S ribosomal RNA". The record is from RNAcentral.
CUGCUGCCUUCCGUAGGAGUUUGGGCCGUGUCUCAGUCCCAAUGUGGCCGUUCACCCUCUCAGGCCGGCUACUGAUCGUCGCCUUGGUGGGCUGUUACCCCGCCAACAAGCUAAUCAGACGCGGAUCCAUCGUAUACCACCGGAGUUUUUCACACCGUCUCAUGCGAGACUGUGCGCUUAUGCGGUAUUAGCACCUAUUUCUAAGUGUUAUCCCCCAGUAUACGGCAGGUUAUCCACGCGUUACUCACCCGU